UUCUCUAGCAUGCAAAGCCCAGCCAGCCUUGGGCUGAGGUGGGAGACAGAUGGUAGAGUCGAGCUUCAGUUUCUAUCUGAUGCAAGUUUGCUCCCUAGGUCCAGAGAGCAGUGUGGUUGACACAGGCUGUGGAAUUUCACAAGGUAGAGUUUACUGUGGGCCGAGGCUUUCCAGGAGAGACUUUUAGCAGGAGGAAGCCCUAGUGAAGCAGCAUCUGAGAGGGUACAUCAGGGUUGAAGCAUGGGGAGGUCUAGAAAGGCAACAGGAUAAAGGCCCAAAGGUUUAAAGUACGCAGCGCAUUGCAGGAAAUUCAAAAAAGAUCCGCCAAGCUGAAGCUAUGGAAUUAAUGUUGAGGGGACAUUUUGGAGUCACAGCAUGGAGGACUUUGAAACACCAGCUGAAUCAUCGUGAUUUUAUUCUGCGGGCAUUUAGGAGGCUCGGAAGCUUUGUGAAGGUCCAUGAAUAGAGCUGCUACAUUUGUCCUGAGCCCACACACUGCUUUCAUCUGGACAGGGGAUGAUGCCUUUCCCUCUGACUCCCGUGCUAAUUCUGAAAUUAUUAAGCCCGAUUAUCUCUAAGGCACCUGCCAGCUGGGACAUUCUAUGAAACAGUGAAAGCAGGAAAAAUGUGAAGCAUGUUAAGUGAAGGUUUGCAUACAGGAUGGAGCAAAGUUCACAGAGCAAUCUGCAGCAGAGGUGAGCUGCAACCGCCAAGCCUCCGGGGAGUGUGUGAAGCCGUAAAUCUCACUGAUCCAGACUGGGAGCAAGAUGUUGUGUCUGAACACCCUCAGGACAGAGAACCAGAAUCUCCGAGUUCCUGUUACCAACCCCCAUCCCCGCCCCCUGCUUUUACCUGUGUCACCCAAACUCUCUGGGGAUGGCAACGCCUACCUCACAUAUUACUGUGAUGAUUAAAUGUGAAAACACAU
This is a long non-coding RNA of Zalophus californianus (California sea lion), 928 nucleotides long. RefSeq lists it as uncharacterized. The transcript is spliced from 4 exons. Lineage: Eukaryota; Metazoa; Chordata; Mammalia; Carnivora; Otariidae. The record is from RefSeq and is a predicted model, not a curated record.